UACGUAGGGGGCAAGCGUUGUCCGGAAUCAUUGGGCGUAAAGCGCGUGUAGGCGGCUUCGUAAGUCCGUUGUGAAAGUCCAGGGCUCAACCCUGGAAUGCCGAUGGAUACUGCGGAGCUAGAGUCCGGAAGAGGCGAGUGGAAUUCCUGGUGUAGAGGUGAAAUGCGCAGAUAUCAGGAGGAACACCAAUGGCGAAGGCAGCUCGCUGGGACGGUGCUGACGCUGAGACGCGAAAGCGUGGGGAGCAAACAGG
Molecule: ribosomal RNA, 253 nt
Filed under: uncultured bacterium
Lineage: Bacteria
Description: partial 16S ribosomal RNA
Rfam family: Bacterial small subunit ribosomal RNA
Source: RNAcentral